This 941-nucleotide long non-coding RNA is filed under the name Homo sapiens (human). Its description in RNAcentral is "HSALNT0105952". The record is from RNAcentral. Lineage: Eukaryota; Metazoa; Chordata; Mammalia; Primates; Hominidae.
GUGUUGCUGGUGGGUGGGUGUGCGAGGAGAGGCUGCUAAUUAACCCCCCUAAUUAGGCUUUGCACAGACUGAUACUGAAAUAAGCCUGCCUUCUGCAAUGCACAUACACAGGUGUUAGGGAGGCAUCGGGGCAGGGAAUGCUGGUUAGCAUGAAGGUUCCAAAAUGAACGAGCAGGGAAAUGGAUAAUCCACAUGGAGGCCUGGCUCUGUGAGUUGAAGGAGGCUUAAGAACUUCUCUGCCUUUGUCCAGGGGCCACAUCAGAGAGAAAGACUCUACAGCUUGCCCAGAGUCGAGCUUAAAUGGAGCAGCAUGAUUUUUGUCUGAAAAGUCUGAGAUGGGACCAGUGGAAAGGUGUGCAUUUUAAGAAGGAUUUGCUUCCCCAUCUUGUGCCUUCUGUGUCUUGCAGCACGACCUGGCCCUCCACCUAGGAAUCAUACCUUCAUCCCCCAUACUCAUAAGCAUCCUCAUUCCUGUUUCCUUGUGGAUGUCAUGGUCUGCUGUGAAGUCUGCUUGGUGACCCGUCCAGACCUGACUUGGUAUAAAUGAUUUUGUUGCAGAGAAUAACAAAGUCUCAGUGUUUAUUUGGCAUCUGUUGGGAUAUCUGGAACCCUAAACAGAACGGAGGGGAGCUGGGGUCAUGUCCCUUCUUUAAUGAUUGGGAAGACUGAGGCUUAGACUGUGCUGAGUCACUGCUCCCAGGUCACCCAGCCUGAAGGGGUUUCUUAGUCUGGGUUCCCCUAGAAGCAGGCUCUGAGACCAGAGUUUGAGUCUAAGUAAUUUAUUUGGGAGCUGGGCCCAGAAAACACAAAUGGAUGGUGAGACAAGCAGGAAGGCAGCCCACAAAGGGCAGGUUUUCAAGCCACCUAUCCCUGGUGGCAACUGGAGCCUAAUCCCCCUGGGAAACCAUCAAGCCUCAGAAUGGGACCACCUGAGGAGUGAG